GACGAGGGGUCCUAGCGUUGUUCGGAUUCAUUGGGCGUAAAGGGUGCGUAGGUGGCGCCGUAAGUCGGGUGUGAAAUUUCGGAGCUUAACUCCGAAACUGCAUUCGAUACUGCGGUGCUUGAGGACUGGAGAGGAGACUGGAAUUCAUGGUGUAGCAGUGAAAUGCGUAGAGAUCGUAAGGAAGACCAGUGGCGAAGGCGGGUCUCUGGACAGUUCCUGACACUGAGGCACGAAGGCCAGGGGAGCAAACGGG
This 253-nucleotide ribosomal RNA is filed under the name uncultured bacterium. RNAcentral describes it as "partial 16S ribosomal RNA". It matches the Rfam family "Bacterial small subunit ribosomal RNA", at positions 524 to 776 of the family's 1533-position model. The record is from RNAcentral.